This is a non-coding RNA of Podarcis lilfordi (Lilford's wall lizard), 75 nucleotides long. The record is from the annotation of a GenBank genome assembly. NCBI's taxonomy places the organism in Eukaryota, Metazoa, Chordata, Lepidosauria, Squamata, Lacertidae.
UGGGAUAGCUCAGUCAAUAGAGCAUCAGACUCCUGAUCUCAAGGUCAUGGGUUUGAGCCCCUUAUAGGAGAACAG